This is a non-coding RNA of Pelobates cultripes (western spadefoot toad), 224 nucleotides long. Lineage: Eukaryota; Metazoa; Chordata; Amphibia; Anura; Pelobatidae. The record is from the annotation of a GenBank genome assembly.
CUAGUGAGAGAGUGAGGGAGGGUGUGACUAGUGACAGAGGGAGGAGUGACUAGGGACAAAGUGAGGGAGGUGGUGACUAGUGACAGUCACCACCUCCCUCACUCUGUCACUAGUCACCACCUCCCUCACUCUGUCACCAGUCAUCCCCUCACUCUGUCACCAGUCAUCCCCUCACUCUAGUGACAGAGUGAGGGACGGUGUGACUCCUUUACUCUGUCACUAGU